GGAGGAAUAUUGGACAAUGGGCGCAAGCCUGAUCCAGCCAUGCCGCGUGCAGGAUGACGGUCCUAUGGAUUGUAAACUGCUUUUGUACAGGAAGAAACACCCCGACGUGUCGGGGCUUGACGGUACUGUAAGAAUAAGGAUCGGCUAACUCCGUGCCAGCAGCCGCGGUAAUACGGAGGAUCCAAGCGUUAUCCGGAAUCAUUGGGUUUAAAGGGUCCGUAGGCGGUCUUAUAAGUCAGUGGUGAAAUCU
Molecule: ribosomal RNA, 250 nt
Filed under: uncultured bacterium
Lineage: Bacteria
Description: partial 16S ribosomal RNA
Rfam family: Bacterial small subunit ribosomal RNA
Source: RNAcentral